Molecule: ribosomal RNA, 254 nt
Filed under: uncultured bacterium
Lineage: Bacteria
Description: partial 16S ribosomal RNA
Rfam family: Bacterial small subunit ribosomal RNA
Source: RNAcentral
GACAGAGGGUGCAAACGUUGUUCGGAAUUACUGGGCGUAAAGCGCGUGUAGGCGGCUUGGCAAGUCGGGUGUGAAACCUCCAGGCUCAACCUGGAGACGCCACUCGAUACUGGCGUGACUAGAGUUCGGUAGGGGACCACGGAAUUCCUGGUGUAGCGGUGAAAUGCGCAGAUAUCAGGAGGAACACCAGUGGCGAAGGCGGUGGUCUGGGCCGAUACUGACGCUGUAGAGCGAAAGCGUGGGGAGCGAACAGG